ACAGUAGUAGCCACGGUAAUACGUAGGUGGCAAGCGUUGUCCGGAAUUAUUGGGCGUAAAGCGCGCGCAGGUGGUUCCUUAAGUCUGAUGUGAAAGCCCACGGCUCAACCGUGGAGGGUCAUUGGAAACUGGGGGACUUGAGUGCAGAAGAGGAAAGUGGAAUUCCAAGUGUAGCGGUGAAAUGCGUAGAUAUUUGGAGGAACACCAGUGGCGAAGGCGACUUUCUGGUCUGUAACUGACACUGAGGCGCGAAAGCGUGGGGAGCAAACAGGAUUAGAUACCCCUGUAGUCCCUGUCUCUUAUAC
This 305-nucleotide ribosomal RNA is filed under the name uncultured bacterium. RNAcentral describes it as "partial 16S ribosomal RNA". It matches the Rfam family "Bacterial small subunit ribosomal RNA", at positions 505 to 807 of the family's 1533-position model. The record is from RNAcentral.